RNAcentral lists this ribosomal RNA (775 nucleotides) under uncultured Neocallimastigales. RNAcentral describes it as "partial large subunit ribosomal RNA". It matches the Rfam family "Eukaryotic large subunit ribosomal RNA", at positions 24 to 636 of the family's 3401-position model. Lineage: Eukaryota; Fungi; Neocallimastigomycota; Neocallimastigomycetes; Neocallimastigales. The record is from RNAcentral.
UAUGUGAUCGUCUCUCGCAUAUCAAUAAGCGGAGGAAAAGAAACUAACAAGGAUUCCCCUAGUAACGGCGAGUGAAGCGAGAAGAGCUCAAAUUUGAAAUCUUAAAGGGUUUCCCUUUACGAAUUGUAGUUUAAAGAAGUGUUUUCUGUUGAGGUUUUGGUAAAAGUUCUUUGGAAUAGGACAUCAUAGAGGGUGAGAAUCCCGUAUUUGACCUUUACUUUCAACUUUGUGAUACACUUUCAAAGAGUCGGAUUGUUUGGGAAUGCAGUCCAAAAUGGGUGGUAAAUUUCAUCUAAAGCUAAAUAUUGGCGAGAGACCGAUAGCGAACAAGUACCGUGAGGGAAAGAUGAAAAGAACUUUGAAAAGAGAGUUAAACAGUACGUGAAAUUGUCAAAAGGGGAGCGUUUGACACCAGUGUUGUUUUUCUGAAAAUCAAUUAAAGAACUGUUUAUGCUAAGUUGUUUAGACUUUAUCAGCUAACUGUUUAGUUUUGAGCUUUUCUUUAAUGCACUUUUCAGUUAACAAGUCAACAUCAAUUUCUUUUGCUGUAAAAAAGCUUGAGGAAGGUGGCUUGAGAUUCGUCUUAAGUGUUUAUAGCCUCUUGCCUAUGCAGUCGGAGAGAUUGAGGUCUGCAGCGUAGAUCCUUCGGGGCUAAAUGCAUUUGUGCUAAGUUAUAGCAUUUUAUAGACAACUUAGUUGACUAUGAUUUGUCUUGUAGCUUACUCGCUUAUGUUAUUUUACCUACGCUUAGGAUGUUGAUAUGCAUGACUGAUAU